UGGUGGAGUGAUUUGUCUGGUUAAUUCCGUUAACGAACGAGACCUUAACCUACUAAAUAGUAACGUGAAUUUCGAUUCACGGCAUACUUCUUAGAGGGACUAUCGGUCUAAACCGAUGGAAGUUUGAGGCAAUAACA
RNAcentral lists this ribosomal RNA (137 nucleotides) under uncultured eukaryote. Its description in RNAcentral is "partial 18S ribosomal RNA". It matches the Rfam family "Eukaryotic small subunit ribosomal RNA", at positions 1299 to 1458 of the family's 1831-position model. The record is from RNAcentral.